UCCUUUUAUUUUAUACGGGCAACACUGCUGCCACCGUGAUGACAACCCUAGGAAGAUUUUGACAGAUAGAGCGCUCGCUUUCUUCGUUGACUGAUAAACUAUGUUUUCUUACGAUUGUUAUAAAAACUUGUGUUUUAAAAGUGAAUACAAGCAGUUAUUGUGAUACGAAUUGACGUUUUAUUUCUGAUGGAAGCUAGGAGAUCAUACCCUAGCUCAUAUCAGAAGCGGGAAGAACAGAAAACGCCUAGUUACCAAUGGGGCGCGAAUGCUCCGAAUACAAUAAAAUUAAUGAUCACGCCACACCAUGCGAAACACUUCUAUACGAAGACGAGAUGACCACAGCACUGAUUGCUCAACCGCAAUAAUGCAUCAAGGACUUUUCUACUCAAGGAAAACAAAGCGACAUGGUCAACAGUAUUAUCAUCAGCGUUCCUCCACUUCAGCGCUCGUGAACACUGAUGGUAUUGAAGAGUAAAACUGAAUGUCUACAAUCGGAUGAGAUUAUAACUGCGAAAGACUUGUGGAGCCAAUAAUGACGACGAUCAGACAAGAUUCUUGUGUGUAGAUUACUGCUCGACACACACUACGCCUGAUGGCGAUUAGACACCUCCGCCGUGAUGAAACAUUGUACCAGGUACCCGAGACAUUGGACAAUCAGAUGGCUGGAAAGCAGGUGGCAAGUGAGAGUGCUUGGCCUCUGCAACAGUAAAGAGAGGCAGGUGGCAAGUGAGAGUGCUUGGCCUCUGCAACAAUAAAGAGAGGCAGGUGGCAAGUGAGAGUGCUUGGCCUCUGCAACAGUAAAGAGAGGCAGGUGGCAAGUGAGAGUGCUUGGCCUCUGCAACAGUAAAGAGAGGCAGGUGGCAAGUGAGAGUGCUUGGCCUCUGCAACAGUAAAGAGAGGCAGGUGGCAAGUGAGAGUGCUUGGCCUCUGCAACAGUAAAGAGAGGCAGGUGGCAAGUGAGAAUGCUUGGCCUCUGCAACAGUAAAGAGAGGCAGGUGGCAAGUGAGAGUGCUUGGCCUCUGCAACAGUAAAGAGAGGCAGGUGGCAAGUGAGAGUGCUUGGCCUCUGCAACAGUAAAGAGAGGCAGGUGGCAAGUGAGAGUGCUUGGCCUCUGCAACAAUAAAGAGAAGCAGGUGGCAAGUGAGAGUGCUUGGCCUCUGCAACAGUAAAGAGAAGCAGGUGGCAAGUGAGAGUGCUUGGCCUGUGAAGCUAUGAGAAGAUAUGGUAACAAAUGUAGAAUAUAAAAAGAUUAAUAUCAGAUCUGUUUGAAAACUUGAUUACCCAGUAUACAUAUAUUUUCUUUGAAUUGUAUAAAUUAUUUUUCUAGUAAAAAUUGCACUAAAA
Molecule: long non-coding RNA, 1344 nt
Organism: Helicoverpa zea (corn earworm)
Lineage: Eukaryota; Metazoa; Arthropoda; Insecta; Lepidoptera; Noctuidae
Exons: 2
Source: RefSeq, a predicted model, not a curated record